RNAcentral lists this long non-coding RNA (5463 nucleotides) under Homo sapiens (human). Its description in RNAcentral is "HSALNT0028351". The record is from RNAcentral. Lineage: Eukaryota; Metazoa; Chordata; Mammalia; Primates; Hominidae.
GCGCAGCUCAAUUAUUGCGCGGGCUGGGGGCGGGGCCUGCGGGGAAGGGACAGAGCCAAGCCCAGCCUUGAGCCAUCCUCGCCCCUGUGGCGGAAAUGGGAGGGUGCCUGGAGGAGUGGAGGGAUUGGAUUUACACCCUCUUUUCCCUCCGAAGCCUCCUUGGUGGGGGCGAAGAAAGACCAUCCAACCCUGCCAAAGGCAAAAGGAUUAAGGAUAAAUGAAAGCAAGAUAAUGUAGAAGAACUACUUAGCUGCUGGGUUUUUGGAGAUGAGUGAUUUUUUUUUGUAGGGAGAAAUUAUGAAACACAUUGAAAUGGACAAAAAAUUACUGAAUGUCUUCAAUGAAAAAACAGCCAUAGUUUGGCACACCGUCCCGGGCAUUCUGUUGCUAGAGGGGCUGUCCGCUUUUCUUUGUGGUGCUCUGCACAACUCGUUCCCUCUGGAAAGGCAUCAGGGGAGGCAUUUGGGAAAGCUGGCACUUUCCUUUUGCCCUUCACAUCACAUGAUUGAUUGGAAAAAUGGGAAAUGACAAGUGGCAUCAACAAGCGGGGCAAAGAGCUAGCCCAGUCAACCUACGAUGGGCCCCAUUCAAGGGGCACAGAGGGACAGAGGGACAGAAGGCUGAAGACUGGCUGGCUGGGGUGCAGCGAUGCUACAGAACGCCCCAUGGGACUUGGCAUGAAUAGGAAGCGUGGCCAGAUUAAGGACAUCCAAGAACUAGCUGCAGCAGGAAACUAGGCCAGGAGAGGCAAUGGGAAGGAACUACCUGGCAGGAACCUGGCAGAGCUGAAGCUCCCCAUAGAUUGAGGAAUGCAGCCGGCACCUGAGCUCAGCAAGGUAAGGAUGGGGCAGAGAAGGUUCUCAAGCAAUAUUCUGAAAUGAGCAUGAAUCGAUGAAUCAUUUUCCAGAGCUUGGGGGCUUUCCAGGGACAGUGAGCCCCAGGAAUCUGACACAUGGACUCUUACCAAGAGAAAUGGAAUUCCUGAGUGGGGACUGCACAGGAAGCAGUAACGCUUUUCAGCAUAAACUGUAGUCAUCCUGGCCAGGGCUGCAGGCAAGUGAGGGAGCAGCUGCGCCCGGGGUCUAGCAAAGCCCUGGUUCCUCCAGUGAGACCCAAAGCAUCUCCUGAAGGAAGGUCUCUUAAACGACCCUCAGAAUCGGAUUUCGCUCUGCAUCGAGUUUUCUGAAACUUGAAGAUCAAAUGCUGAGGUUACAAAUGCUUUCCAUUAUUUUCUUCAUGGUUUUCUAGAUUUUAAAACAUUGCUCUAGCCAGGGUGUUUUCCCAGCCCCCACGUCCAUGGCACCCCCAGUCUCUUCUCUGCACAUCUGGAUUUCCUACGGGGUUUCACUGGUGUCCAGGGCCGUCACCCAAAGGUGCCUGGCCUGGAGUAAGCAGAGGCUGGAACACAGCCUGAGCCUGGAACACAGCCUGAGCCCUGCUUGUCAAGUUCUGCUUCUGACCAGCGGAGGGGGGCCCAGACUGGGUGCCUAUUUCUAAUUCCUGGAAAGGUAUGUGCCCGCCGAGGCCCAGCUGGUGUCCCCCUCUAGAUGAAGUCACCUGCUGGGGCCACCACGACCCACCUGGGGCCCGCUGCCAGAUCCCACCAGCCUCUGCCGCCUUUGCCCGGUGCCACUGCCACUGCCCCAGGUCACCACCAUGAUGAUGAACCAGGCUCCCCAUGAGGUGCCAUAGCGGCACUAUGUUGUCUGGGGUCUUCCAAGCCACGUUGUUACAGGAAAAUGCUACACUUCCCAGAUGGUUUCAAAGUGCAAGCUGCAAUAACUCACAGAGCUUUGGUGAAGUCACUCAUUCUAUUUUAACUCAACUAUGGAACUAACUCUACUGUUGAAGGCAUGAGGGCGCCGGGCGGGGGAAUGAACCAGAGUGGUGGCCAUUCUGUGGGCCUUCCAACAUUCCUCAUCUUCGAGAUUUGUCAGUAAGGGAUUCUUACUGAUUCAGACUUGGGUCUGGGUCCUCUUUGUGAAGAUACACUUUGUGUCCUCAAAUUUGAAUGUUUUCCCAGAAAGCUCUUGUGUCCCCAAGACAGAUUUCUGGUGGCCUCCCCAUCACUGAGCCAGGCAGGCCCACACAUGCCUGCCCCAGGCUUAGGGUGGGGCGUGCUCCAUCAGAAAGAACAGGUCGAUCUUCUUUCCUUCUUCCCUUCCUUCCAGGUUACACAGCGACAUGCAAAGUCCUCCCCAGUAUGGACCACAUUGAAGCAGGUGUGAGGCAGACACCAGGGCUUCCCAGCCACCAGGCUUCUUUGGCCACUUUUUCGUCUUGUCCUGGUAGAAGGUGGCCAUGAAUCCAAGCACCCCUUCCAGCCUCACGAGAUGAAUUAAUUAGCCUAAACUGUUUGUGGUAAUUCCUUUCCCCUUGUGAGCAAUUUGGCACUUUUUGGCACCCAGUCUCUGGUGUGACCUCGCCAUCCUCAUUGGCACAGCCACCCUGGGAACAAAAGCCAUCCUCACGUGUCGCUGAGAUCCCAGCCAUGUGCACACUCAGCCCAGGUAGGCUGCAAGGGCAGAAGCCUCUGAGACCCACUGACUCUUAGCCUUAAUUCUUCCAAAUCAACUUUAAUUUGCCCCAAAUCCCCACACACCAGGACUGUGCCCAGGCUGUGGGGGUCUUACACAGCGUGAAAACUUCAGGAACUUCCUGCUGUCAUCAGUUACUGGUCUUCCUAUUUACCGUUUGGACAACCACAGACUGAAGGAAUCUGAAAUGGACCCGUCGGGUCAGUGGCUCUGAGCCACUGUGGGAAUGUCUGGCAAGGCUGGAAGCCCUGGGGUCUAAGGUCCAGGGGGCCAAGGUGCACCUGGGCUGGCCUUUUGUUCACAGGCUUCCCUGUGAUCUCCCUCCAGCCUGGGAGAAAAAAAAAAAUCUCUCUUCCAUGCUCCUCUCAAAGGCACCCCCUGCAGGACAUCCACACGGUCUCUCUGGGAGCUUGGGCUUUUAUUAAAGACACAGCAAGCCUGCCUUGCCAAAAUCCCUCAGACAAGGCCAUGCCAAGGGCUGGCGACCUCCUGGUAAUGUGAGAAGACACCAGAAGAACACGUACUCCUUUUUCAAUUAACUGUCCCCCCAUCUUUCCGAGGAAAUCUGACUCCUGUACCAAGCUUGCCUUCUAAACAGGUUGAGAGCCUAGAAGCCAAGGGACAGGGCUGUGAGGGGAAAGACUGGGCCCAGCCAGUGAGUGGGGGGCAGCCUGGGAGGAGCAUGUUGGCAGCAUGAGCCCAGCAGGGAAAGAAGGCCUCUGGCCUCUGUCCUGAAUGGCAGGAGGAAGUCACCGUCGGCCACCCUCACAGCCCAGGGUUGGGGCUUCUGGAGUGACUGAUAUCACCCCACGUAUGAAUCUGGCCCUGAUGCCAAGGACUGUGAUUCAACAAGGCAACUGGGGCCAUACACAGGGGUGCUGGGCCCUGUAGGAGACAGUGGCAAGGCCCUGCUCUCAGGCUCCUGGGUCCCAGUGGGGAGGCAGCCUCAUGCAUGGAUCCUUAGCCCGUGAGGAGCAGGAUGGCUGCAAUAAGGAGGAGGAAGCCUGAACAGCUGAUUCCUCCUUGGGCGGUGGGUGGGGUUGGCUCUGUGGGAUCUGAGAAGGCUUCUUGGGAGAGGUUGGGUUUAAGUUAGGACCUUGAGACAGGCAGGAGGAAGCCAUUCUAGAGAAAGGUGGCAGUUUCUGGGAGGGGUUUAUAAUUGAAGCUGGGGCAUCAGGGGUAUGUCAGAAGAAGGAGGGGCAGUGGAAAAUAAGCUUGUAAAAACAGCUUGAGGCCAAACCACAAAGAACACUGAAUGCCUGGGGAGGGGGAGUUUAGUUUGAAUUUUUAUUGUUUAUGCAUGGUCAUAGUUUAAGGAUCCCUGCCCCCAGUCUCAGAUUUUGCCUUUUCCUGCUUCCCAAGCUUUCAGCUGGUUCUUUUAGUAUUUACCUUCAUAGCUGUAAAUAUUAUGCUUAGAUUACUAUUUGAUUUUUCUACUUAUAAUGUCAUUCGUUGAGUUUCUGCUACAGAAGAUGAGAUGUUUAUGUAUAGUGAGAGCAGUAUACAUAAACAUACUUCCUAUCCCUUCAAAUAGAGUUACAUUAUAAUUUUAGUUCAUUAAUAGUUUGCAUUACAUUAUUAUUACUACAUCAACAAUACUCACAGCUGAAUCAUAUAGUAGACCAUGGUAACCUUUUGCUUGCUUAUUUUGUACUUUUCCUGAAAUUAAUCAUUACCUUGUUGUUUGCUUCUUUGUUUUAGUUUGUUUAAGUUUCUAAGUACUUAUUACUAAUGAAACCCCAAAGUUUUUGUCAAGUAUAGACAUCUCCUUUCAGGCUGUUCAGAAAGCCUGUGGUGUCCUACCAACUUCACCCUCCUGGGAAGCUCUUCUGAACCCUAGAGUCCUGUGCAUAACCAUUUGGGAAAAUCCCUUCAUCUCUCUCCUGGGUUAAGGUCCCCUUGCCUUCUUCCUCAUUUCACCCCUAUGUUUUGAUAGAGCACAUCCCCCAGUAGCUUUCUGAGAAAAGGUGCAUUUGGGGCCGUGAUACUUGAAUACCUGGAAAAGUCUUUUCUACCCUUGCAGUUGAUUGAUAGGUUGGCUGGGUAUAGGUUUUAGGUUAGAAAUCAUUUUCCUUUAGAAUUUUGAAAACACUGCUCCAUUGCUUUAAAAAAUGUUGCAACUGAGAAACAUAAAGCCAGCUUGAUUUCUGUCUCCUUUGUAUGUGAUGGGAUUUUUUUUUUCUGUUCUUCUGGGAGCUUUUACAUCUUCUCUUUGUCCCCAGUGUUGUGAAAUUUCACAAUAACCGACCUUGCUGUAGGUCUCUUCAUCCAUUGUGCUGGAAUGGGCCCUUUUAAUGUGGAAACUUGUCCCUCUUGUCUGGGACAUUUUCUUGAAAUAUUUCCUUGACAAUUUCUCUGACAGUAGGUAUUUUUUUCCACCCUUUGAAUAUAGAUGGAAAUACCAUUUUCCCCAGAAUGUAACCAGAUCUUGUCGUUCUAGAAUGUAGCCAGGGAAGCAAAGGCAUCCAGCUAAGUUUGCCUGUGGUAGGAGUCAGAGCGUAAGCUUACUUUGGAAAGGGAGUUCUGCGGUCCACUUUCUGCCUCCGCUGAAGGCCUUCAUGUCGAUGAAGUGCCUGGGAGGUCCUAAGUCUCAUCUUAUUAGAGAAACUGCUCCUGAACAGCCUAAGAUGUCACCCCAUGCAUCAGUUCAUAGUCUCUUACUCUGCUUGAUUUUACUUGCCACAUCAUAGGUGCUCAAUGCUCAUUGUUUGUCAAAUUGAAUUAUUUGGGACACAAUUUUCCCGUCUGUAAAAUGAAGGUGCUGGACUAGAAUUCUAAAAGUCCCAGUAGCUCCAAUGUCCAACAACUAUGCUUAUGUCACUGUGUUGGAAAAUGACUUAUAAAAGGGAAUGAAAUAGUCUCUGUAAAUAUGUUUCUCUGCCCACAUUUAAUGAAUUGUCUACCACAAUGAGGGGGAGUCCUAUUU